ACCAUCAAAUGUUUACUAUAGGAAAGGUUUGUGAUGUGUUUCUCAGCUGCAGAUGGGUGUUUGAUGGUCUGCAUGGGGUUUAACUUUACCUCUGGAUCCUCCUGGUGUUUAGCACCAGGACAAGUCAGACAAGAGGUUUUAACUGCAAUUGCACCGAGCUUGUACUGAAAGAGGAAGAGAAGAUCAGGGCAGGACCCCAAAACUCACACCUAUCUUUGCCUUCAGUAGAGUCCCAAAUCCAGUGUAUCUUACGCUUACAAUAGGGUGGAAGAGGUGAAAGAAAAAACAAACUUCUUGAUUUUUAGGUUAUUGUAAGGCUGGGCCUGCUCAGUCCCACCAACACUGGCCACCCCCUCUGGGAUUCCAGCUCACUGGCACCAGAAAUACCUGUUUCCAUGAGAUUUAUGAUACAUUCAAAGGGUUCUUCAAAGCCUUCCAGUGACUUAACCUCACUGUGGUGGAGUCAGUGUUGAUUCAUCUUGAACUACUUCCAAAUCUAGCUGGGAAAUUGUUGCCAGGAGACCACCUUGUGUGAAAACUUCACCCAUUUGAGACCAAGCCAGCAUGGAGUGAGUCUGCCUACCUCCUCAUAGAAGCAAAAAGAAAGGGUCAAAAAAGAAAGGUCUUCUUUUAGCCAGAUAUUGGCAAUGAAAUGAGGCAUACUAGAGAUAGCAAAACAAAACAUGGGAGGCCUGGACUCACCUUCAAACUCAGAUUUCUCACUCUUCAAGAGCACUGUUUUUGGCAAGAGACUUUGUCAACAAGAGAUGGACCUCAAUUCACAGUUCUUGUGCAUCUUCAAGGCACAGACAACAGAGGGGCCAGCUAAUCCUUCCAACCCAGUCAAAAAGAAUGAGAGAAGUGGUGAGGAAGAGGAGCAGGAGGCAGUAAGGAGCUCUCUUGCUCCUCGAGAUGCUCUUGACAGGAGGAAACAGUACAAGCCAGCAUGUAUUUGUGGAUAAACGAACUUCUUCCUGCUUCAGUUUCUUGUCUGUCGUUGACCUUCUUGCACUAGCCAAAAGCUGUGCUACUGACACAACACAUUGUUCGUUCCAUCCUCCCGUGCUUAAGAGCAACCACCCCUAUAUUUAGCACUCACCAUUUUGCAUUGUGCUGCAACAAACACACGCCCUGCCAGGCACUCUGCGGGUGCUCCAAGGCGGGGCUUGAUGAUUUUAGGUGGACAUUCCCUAUUUUUAGCUAUCAGAUGGCGUGUGGAUGUGUUGGUUCAUCGUAAUUCUUUCCAUGUGACAGAUCUGGAUGUAGUUUAUAGCUCUCCAUGAUGCAAAAACCCAUGCAUUUCCCCCCCAUGCGGCAGGUGGAUGGAGGAGGGGAGAAGGGCUGAGAGCUGUGCUCUGUGUGAAAGCUGGGUAAGGAAGGGACAAGAUGAAUCCCCCCAGGAAGUGUUGUUUUGGAGAGAGUCUAAGGGAAUAUCUCAAUGCUUGAGUCUUGUGCUGCUAGAGCAUUUGUCUUCUUAUGGGAUCAUUUGUAUUACUAGGACAUAUCUUAUGGGAUGGUUGUUUCAUGGCCAGUAAUAAGUUGUUCAUCAAGAGUGAAGCCAUCUUGUCACUAUGGUCUUUCUGGUCUCUUUUACUGGCAUCUAUUAAAAAAUAAAAAUAAAAAAGAGAUGGCAAGUGGGUCAGAUCCAAUCUGAUUAGACUGACCCAACUCCAGAGAAGAUUAUCCCACCAUUAUUAUUUAUUAACUGCCAUGGAUUAAUCAGAAGUUCAAGGCUAGGGACCAAAGAGCAGGAGUGGAUGGCUGAUUUUCCCAGUAGGGAUGUGAUGUUUUAGGUUCCAGCCUCUUCUGGGUUUGUUCAGUUCAACCUUUUUUAGCAACAAUGAUAAAUAAUGAAGCUAGAAGAAAUUUAUGCAGCUUAGCAUGAAGAACUGCAGGAGGAUGUUCUAGUUUGGAGAAAGUAAGUGGUAAAUUGGACAGUUCACAUUUGAUAUUGAUAAGUAACUGCACAUGGCAAAAAGCAGCUUAGCUAUACGUGGGUCCCCAGUUAUCCAUUCCUGGGGUGACAUCUUUAUAUCAGUGGAAAAAGCAGAAUGAAAUGUCAUCAUUGAACUCAACCAAAGUCAAAGAAAACAAAUAGAAGUUUGGAGGUUUGGGUUUUUGUUUUUUUUUUUUUUGUUAUAUGCUUUUUAAAAAGCCUAACAACCAUGGCACUGAGUAAAUCUCUUGGGAGCUGACCUCUUGCAUGAUGUACACAAUGCUAAUCCCCUCACCUCGACUGGAUACAAUGGGACUGGAAAAGGUAAAAGCACCAGGAACAAUCAUAGGCCCCAAACAACCUCUUGUGUAAGCACUGCCUAGGGAAUAGACUGGGACUCCAUUGUCUGCAAAAGAGAAAGCAGAGCAGGAGAACAGCUAUUGGGCCAGAACAUCUGGAGUGACAGGGGUGGGAGGAGGCAGGAGAAUUCAUUCCUUCCAGUAAUUCAGGAGCUGGGAGGCAUCUUUUACUGAACAAAAGCCAGGCAGACUGCAGGUGUGGCUCUCUCUGCCUCAAGAUGCUUUGGAAGCCAAAAGAGUGAAUAGGGAAUAAUAAUUCUAUAAAGGAUUAGAAAAAUUAGAAAAAUAUGGUGCUCUGGAUAGCACCCCUGUGCUGGAGGUUGUGGGGUGUUUGUUUAUCACUGCAGUUCUCGUGGGUCUUCUCUAGGAAUAUACCUGUCUGCCCACUCUCCCUUUUUACCCAUCUCUAGUUAGUCAUAGGGCACAACACUGACUUGGAUCAAGCUUUGCUCCUACCCACUGAGGUUGUCAUCAUAGAAUCAUUUGAGUUGGAAGGGUCCCUUAAAUGUCAUCUAGUCCAACUCCCCUGCAAUGAACAGGGGCACC
Non-coding RNA from Coturnix japonica (Japanese quail), 2841 nucleotides. Lineage: Eukaryota; Metazoa; Chordata; Aves; Galliformes; Phasianidae. The record is from RefSeq and is a predicted model, not a curated record.